This 454-nucleotide ribosomal RNA is filed under the name Micrococcus luteus. Its description in RNAcentral is "bacterial SSU rRNA". It matches the Rfam family "Bacterial small subunit ribosomal RNA", at positions 80 to 559 of the family's 1533-position model. The record is from RNAcentral. Lineage: Bacteria; Bacillati; Actinomycetota; Actinomycetes; Micrococcales; Micrococcaceae.
UUGCUGGGUGGAUUAGUGGCGAACGGGUGAGUAACACGUGAGUAACCUGCCCUUAACUCUGGGAUAAGCCUGGGAAACUGGGUCUAAUACCGGAUAGGAGCGCCCACCGCAUGGUGGGUGUUGGAAAGAUUUAUCGGUUUUGGAUGGACUCGCGGCCUAUCACUUGUGGUGAGGUAAUGGCUCACCAAGGCGACGACGGGUAGCCGGCCUGAGAGGGUGACCGGCCACACUGGGACUGAGACACGGCCCAGACUCGGGAGGCAGCAGUGGGGAAUAUUGCACAAUGGGCGCAAGCCUGAUGCAGCGACGCCGCGUGAGGGAGACGCCUUCGGGUUGUAAACCUCUUUCAGUAGGGAAGAAGCGAAAGUGACGGUACCUGAAGAAGCACCGGCUAACUACGUGCCAGCAGCCGCGGUAAUACGUAGGGUGCGAGCGUUAUCCGGAAUUAUUGGGC